This 447-nucleotide ribosomal RNA is filed under the name uncultured bacterium. Its description in RNAcentral is "bacterial SSU rRNA". It matches the Rfam family "Bacterial small subunit ribosomal RNA", at positions 355 to 825 of the family's 1533-position model. The record is from RNAcentral.
UCGGGAAUUUUGUGCAAUGGGCGAAAGCCUGACACAGCAACGCCGCGUGAAGGAUGAAGUCCCUCGGGAUGUAAACUUCGUAAGAAUAGGAAGAAUAAAUGACGGUACUAUUUGUAAGGUCCGGCUAACUACGUGCCAGCAGCCGCGGUAAUACGUAGGGACCAAGCGUUGUUCGGAUUUACUGGGCGUAAAGGGUGCGUAGGCGGCAUAUCAAGUCACUUGUGAAAUCUCCGGGCUUAACUCGGAACUGCCAAGUGAUACUGAUGUGCUAGAGUGCAGAAAGGGCAACUGGAAUUCUUGGUGUAGCGGUGAAAUGCGUAGAUAUCAAGAGGAACACCUGAGGCGAAGGCGAGUUGCUAGGCUGACACUGACGCUGAGGUACGAAAGCUAGGGGAGCGAACGGGAUUAGAUACCCGGGUAGUCCCUGAGCGGGCUGGCAAGGCGCAU